Molecule: long non-coding RNA, 892 nt
Filed under: Malus domestica (apple)
Lineage: Eukaryota; Viridiplantae; Streptophyta; Magnoliopsida; Rosales; Rosaceae
Description: long non-coding RNA (MDOM_LNC017168)
Source: RNAcentral
GAUGAACUAAGGGAUGCUGUUCUGCUUGUAUUUGCCAACAAACAAGAUCUUCCUAAUGCAAUGAAUGCCGCCGAGAUAACUGAUAAGCUUGGUCUUCAUUCUCUCCGUCAACGUCACUGGUAAGUUAUUGAUAUACGGUGGGAGUCUACUGAUUAGUCUCUCUCUUGAGCUGGGAAAAACUUUCACCUUGAUUUAAAUACGGAUGGUUCAACUUAAACGAAUGAGUUCUUGAACAUCAAUGCUAAGAUCUUGGGCAAAAGUUGAAUACUGGAUAUAAUUGUUGUUCUUUUUCCAGGUACAUCCAGAGUACUUGUGCAACCUCUGGAGAGGGCUUGUACGAGGGGUUGGACUGGCUUUCCAACAACAUUGCUAGCAAGGUAAUAAAUUCAUUGUUUUGUUUAGAAUAUCAUCUCAUGGUAUUAUUUCUGGAAUCUAUUACGGUGAAUCCCUCAUAAAACAUGACGGAUUAGAUUUUUUUUAUUAGCAAGAUACCAUCCAUAUUUGAAUUCUAUAUUUCUGACGGCCCCCUCUCUCGUUCUUUACAGGCAUGAGAGAAUUGAGGCCAAGGAGUUUGGUUGCUUGCCUUGGAGAUUCUGGGGAAGGAUAGUUUUCUUUAUUUCGAUGAAUGUUGUAAUAGCAGAAUGUUUUGGAGAAACUCUCUCUGAAUUCGUGUGUGUGUUUGCUACUCUAGCUAUACUGUUUAGCUGUAAACGAAGUUUCUAUGUCGUUACCUUUGUUUUGACACAUGAGCCAAGGUUAUAUUUUAUCGUGUUUGCUUCAUUAAUCUGUUUGAUUUUUACGAUGAAUUGGAUUCGAUAACUUGUUAGAUUCAAGGAUAGUUGAAAUAAAAGGGACCUUUGAAUUUUGUCCAGGUUGAUUUUGUUUGAGAACU